GUGAGGAAUAUUGCGCAAUGGAGGCAACUCUGACGCAGCCAUGCCGCGUGCAGGAAGAAGGCGCUACGCGUUGUAAACUGCUUUUAACCGGGAAGAAACCCCAGGACGUGUCCUGGGUUGACGGUACCGGAGGAAUAAGCACCGGCUAACUUCGUGCCAGCAGCCGCGGUAAUACGAAGGGUGCAAGCGUUAUCCGGAUUCAUUGGGUUUAAAGGGUGCGUAGGCGGAGCGUUAAGUCAGUGGUGAAAUCCUGCAGCUUAACUGUAGACUUGCCAUUGAUACUGGCGCUCUUGAGUGCGCUUGAAGUGGGCGGAAUGUGCCGUGUAGCGGUGAAAUGCUUAGAUAUGAUGUAGAACACCGAUUGCGAAGGCAGCUCACUAAGCAAAUAUUGACGCUGAGGCACGAAAGCGUGGGGAUCAAACAGGAUUAGAUACCCCAGUAGUCC
RNAcentral lists this ribosomal RNA (445 nucleotides) under uncultured bacterium. RNAcentral describes it as "partial 16S ribosomal RNA". It matches the Rfam family "Bacterial small subunit ribosomal RNA", at positions 354 to 796 of the family's 1533-position model. The record is from RNAcentral.